AACGCACCUUGCGCCCCUCGGUAUUCCGUGGGGCACGCCUGUUUGAGUGUCACGUGAAACCAUCGCCUCGAGCUCGUCUCGUGUGCGGACUUGGACCGUGCCGUUGGACCACCUUCGGCUCGUCUUGAAAUGCAUUAGCGGUGCCAACGCCCGGCGCGCCUCGGUGUGAUAGACAUCAUCGCCGCGAAGCGCCUUCACGUUGGUGUGGCUCCGCUCCUAAUCGUCCUCUCGGGGACAACUUUUAACGCUCUGGCCUCAAAUCAGGUGGGACUACCCGCUGAACUUAA
This 287-nucleotide unclassified non-coding RNA is filed under the name uncultured fungus. RNAcentral describes it as "sequence contains ITS2". The stretch from base 1 to 52 matches the Rfam family "5.8S ribosomal RNA", at positions 103 to 154 of the family's 154-position model. The record is from RNAcentral. Lineage: Eukaryota; Fungi.